Molecule: transfer RNA, 72 nt
Filed under: Bos taurus (domestic cattle)
Lineage: Eukaryota; Metazoa; Chordata; Mammalia; Artiodactyla; Bovidae
Also listed under: 2 other names
Rfam family: tRNA
About the family: Transfer RNA (tRNA) molecules are approximately 80 nucleotides in length. Their secondary structure includes four short double-helical elements and three loops (D, anti-codon, and T loops).
Source: Rfam by way of RNAcentral
UCCCAGGUGGCUCAGUGGUAAAGAAUCUGCCUGCCAACGCAGGAGCCCCAGGUUUGAUACCUGGGUUGGGAA